UACGUAGGUGGCAAGCGUUGUCCGGAUUUAUUGGGCGUAAAGCGAGUGCAGGCGGUCCAAUAAGUCUGAUGUGAAGGCCUUCGGCUCAACCGGAGAAUUGCAUCAGAAACUGUUGAACUUGAGUGCAGAAGAGGAGAGUGGAACUCCAUGUGUAGCGGUGGAAUGCGUAGAUAUAUGGAAGAACACCAGUGGCGAAGGCGGCUCUCUGGUCUGCAACUGACGCUGAGGCUCGAAAGCAUGGGUAGCGAACAGG
Molecule: ribosomal RNA, 253 nt
Filed under: uncultured bacterium
Lineage: Bacteria
Description: partial 16S ribosomal RNA
Rfam family: Bacterial small subunit ribosomal RNA
Source: RNAcentral